AUUGAACGCUGGCGGCAGGCCUAACACAUGCAAGUCGAACGGUAGCACAGAGAGCUUGCUCUCGGGUGACGAGUGGCGGACGGGUGAGUAAUGUCUGGGAAACUGCCCGAUGGAGGGGGAUAACUACUGGAAACGGUAGCUAAUACCGCAUAACGUCGCAAGACCAAAGUGGGGGACCUUCGGGCCUCACACCAUCGGAUGUGCCCAGAUGGGAUUAGCUAGUAGGUGGGGUAAUGGCUCACCUAGGCGACGAUCCCUAGCUGGUCUGAGAGGAUGACCAGCCACACUGUAAAUGAGACACGGUCCAGACACCUACGGGAGGCAGCAGUGGUGAAUAUUGCACAAUGGGCGCAAGCCUGAUGCAGCCAUGCCGCGUGUAUGAAGAAGGCCUUCGGGUUGUAAAGUACUUUCAGCGGGGAGGAAGGCGGUGAAGUUAAUAACUUCACCGAUUGACGUUACCCGCAGAAGAAGCACCGGCUAACUCCGUGCCAGCCGCCGCCGUAA
Molecule: ribosomal RNA, 504 nt
Filed under: uncultured bacterium
Lineage: Bacteria
Description: partial 16S ribosomal RNA
Rfam family: Bacterial small subunit ribosomal RNA
Source: RNAcentral